Molecule: ribosomal RNA, 660 nt
Filed under: Morganella morganii
Lineage: Bacteria; Pseudomonadati; Pseudomonadota; Gammaproteobacteria; Enterobacterales; Morganellaceae
Description: partial 23S ribosomal RNA
Rfam family: Bacterial large subunit ribosomal RNA
Source: RNAcentral
GAAGUGUGGACGCCAGUCUGCACGGAGCCAUCCUUGAAAUACCACCCUUUAACGUUUGAUGUUCUAACCCGGGUCCAUAAUCUGGAUCGGGGACCGUGUCUGGUGGGUAGUUUGACUGGGGCGGUCUCCUCCCAAAGAGUAACGGAGGAGCACGAAGGUUGGCUAAGCAUGGUCGGACAUCAUGCGGUUAGUGCAAAGGCAUAAGCCAGCUUGACUGCGAGAGUGACGGCUCGAGCAGGUACGAAAGUAGGUCUUAGUGAUCCGGUGGUUCUGAAUGGAAGGGCCAUCGCUCAACGGAUAAAAGGUACUCCGGGGAUAACAGGCUGAUACCGCCCAAGAGUUCAUAUCGACGGCGGUGUUUGGCACCUCGAUGUCGGCUCAUCACAUCCUGGGGCUGAAGUAGGUCCCAAGGGUAUGGCUGUUCGCCAUUUAAAGUGGUACGCGAGCUGGGUUUAGAACGUCGUGAGACAGUUCGGUCCCUAUCUGCCGUGGGCGCUGGAAGAUUGAGAGGGGUUGCUCCUAGUACGAGAGGACCGGAGUGAACGCACCACUGGUGUACGGGUUGUGAUGCCAAUUGCAUUGCCCGGUAGCUAAGUGCGGAAGAGAUAACCGCUGAAAGCAUCUAAGCGGGAAACUUGCCUCGAGAUGAGUCUUCCCUGA